GCCAACGUGGUGUUUGCUGCUGCCAUGGCAGCCAUGCUGCUGCUGCAACAUCCCCGGAAGACAUACGAUUAAAAGGCAACAUUAAACCAACGAUAGAUUCACUGGAAACAGAUGGGAAAAAAGAAAUGACAGAACACAUGUUCCACGCUGCUGGGACUCGAUAUCUGAAAGCUGUCUGCAAAAUUCGCGGCAAACAGAAACUAUGAUAAAACGGAAAACACUGGAAUUCCGGCAGAAUUUGAUGUGUUAAUGGUAUCUUCAAUCCAAGACGAGUAAGAGCUAAUCCUCGUGUAUCCGCUGGGAUGACCUUUUUGCAGCCUCGAUCCGAUCCAAAAGAGAUGAUUCCAAUCUGCUUCCACGUCCCAUCCGGCUGUUGGAAAUUCAUGGGGCCGCCACUGUCACCCUGGAGUAUUAAACCUACUAUGCAAGUUCCACUGCUAUUGGCUCCGCUAGUGCAAAUAAUUGCGUCCAUGAUGUUGCUGCCGUAAGUGAGACGGCAUUUAUCAUUAGAAAUAACUGGAACUGUCAUCUUGUGAAGUACAGGACUCAUGUGACGUGACUAUUGACAUAAUCCGGCUCGCUUGAACUCGCUACUCAAACGGGACUGAUAUAUUUUGUGCAAAUUAUCUUUACCCGAGAAUUUGACAGAGGAUUUCAGUUUAAUUAGAGCAAUGUCUCCAACCUGCAUAGUGGGAUUCCAGUCAGGGUGGACGAAAUUCUCACUGCUCGAGUAUGAUUUCUGGUUGUCUUCUGACACCUUGCGAUCGUGUUUGCCCAGGUCAAUAAAUCCUGAAAAGAGUAAUGUCGUAAAUACCCUGGUACGACGAGACAACGUGCAGCUGUGAGGAUCCAUUGGUCGGAAAUCAAACUUCCUCCGCAGGCGUAAGCAUUGCCUCCUUGCAUCCCUACUUGGAUGAAGGCUUGCCACAGAAGAACUCGUUGGCUAUAACCUGUUCUCCUCCAGCAAUCCUGUUGUUUUCCACGCCGGGCGAUAUCCGCUUGGUUUUAGCUACACCGCAGCCUGAAGACGUCUUACUGAUUCUAGUGCUGCCAUAUACUGCCGGAGCCACAGCCACAAAGAUGGUAACCAGAGUAAGGAGCCUCAUGGGACAAUGCGUUUGGGCAAUAGUUGUUCAGAUAUCCUGUGCGUUAAGUCUUGAGAUGUGUCAAGUGGCUUUACAGGCACAUUUGCAAUCACAAACUAAAUCGUUCGUGUGUUUUUUUUUUUAUCUGUUGACAUAGCAAAACACUUUAUUUUGUGGUUCCCAUCUGGUCUCUUUUCAAAUAAGUUAUCGAUAGAGUAGAUUGACGUAGUAGAUAAGAAACAAAGUUGCAUCUUAGUCCAGUAAACAAUAAACUAGUCACUGUAAUCAUUACAAAAUGAAAUGUGUCACUAUGGCGCAAAUCAACAUUUCCAUGAUUUCGUCUUUUGAUGAUUAAUAAGUCUUCAAGUGGUCCUUAAAAGAGCUCAACUUAUAUCUUAGGUAAUUUUUAAAAAUGUUAUUGAACGGCUUCAUGUAUUGUUUUUUGAAUGAUAGGGCCAAUGACCGUAGUAGUUUAUUGGUUGUACAGUAUUUCGAAACACAGAGGUGAUUUAUCGGUUAGAAAAUGUAAUCGAAAUUUGUUUCCAAUUAUUCUGCAGAUGUUGUACGUUUUUCCGUUAACUUCCACGUACAACAAAUUAUCGAUAUGACCGAUGAUGCAGUUUUAAAACAUUGACAUAAAGAGGCUCUUGUUCUUUUCAUUUUGUUUAAUUUGCAUUGUGGAAAGGUUCAGCAGUUUAGCAAACAUUCGGUUGAUCCAAGUGCAAUUCGUUCUCUGGCGAUGUUACAGAAAAAUAUAAUUCAUGAGCAUAUUUGUUGUGAAACAAACGAUGAUGCUUUUGUGGCAACGAUCCCGUUGACGAUUACAGCUAAAAUGCCGCUGAUGAUCAUUAAGGAAUCGAUGGCAGCUCUGUCACCUGGAAAAUUUACGAUCGAUAAUUGGUAGUAUAUCAGAGACGAUCAAUAGCUUACAAAUUUUGGUCAAACCGCAAUUAGCUAUCGCUUCCUGAUAGCUACUAAUUCUCCACGAAAAAAGUCCUAUUAACGUGAUACCAAUCAACACGGCGACGACUGCCAUUCCAGUGACGGCUUCACUCGAUUUAAACCUACACGAGCACACCGAAGAUGACUAGGUAAAUUCCUCCCCAGAGGAUAAUCCAUAUUAUGAUAAAUGGAACCCAUUCUAAAUAAAUGAAUAAUGCCGCUAUCUGUGGAUAAAUUAAUUGACUUCCUGAGGAAUAAAAGUACAACAUCAAAUUACCUGCAAACUGAACGCUAGAAGACCCGCAAGCACAUUGAUUAGCGUCACUUAGCCAUGAUGAAACAAAAUCGUCUUAAUUCCGAAUGCCAGUUGAAGCAAUAUGGAAUGCCAUCCAAGCGUUCAACGACCAGUGCCACUGAUAAAGGAAAUGCUUAAGUGUCAAAGUGUCUUCUCUUACUAAUCAACUGUAAAAGGCCAGUACGUUUGCACACAAUCGGAUUUAAGAGGCAUGUCGAAUGAAUCAUCCCCAUUGCGGUGGCGCCACUGUUUUUCCGGUAUGUUGCUAUGUUCUACACGUCAAUAUUUGAUUCAUGUCAUAGUACAAGGUAAACAUUCAUGUUCCAAAUGUUUUAAGCAAAGACGUUAGUCAUAGGAGGAGCUUUUGAAGCUAUAAAUAUGUUGAGAAUGACAACCAGACCUCCGCUGCAAAUCAUCAACGAGUCGAUGGCUACUCGGCCACCUAUUUCAAAAGAGAAGAAACCAUUCACAUCUAUCGAUAAACUCGCUGUACGAGCUUACGUUCCAAGCGUGCAACCCAAUUAAUGUGAAUCCAAUCAACAUGGAAUAGACUGCCAGAGCUUUGAUGCAAAGAAGCAAACAGGACGAGAAAGGCUCCACCCCAGAUACCCGUACAAACCAAAUCCGGGAUGAAGGUUGCAUCACUAACUGCUAGUGCUGCAAUCUGUGUGGGUAGUGUGGGUACCAAACUUUUAUAAGCUGAGAUGCAACCAAUAGCAUCAAAUAUGGCAAGAAAAUUCAAAGUUCAGUAUUAAAGAUCAAGCACUGGAUUACGAACAAUGCCAACCAAUUGCAUGUUAAAUAACAAAUGUUUUAUUUCAUUCUAUUUGGUUCAGGUUGACCUAAGCUGCAAUUAAAAUCAAAAUGUAAAAUCAAGGUGUUUUUUGUUUAAGAGCCCAAGUCCACAUUUGUGUUAUCCGAAAAAAUGUUAAGGAUUCAAAAUCGUACAUAAUUUCAAUCCAUAGACUAUCGUGGGAAUCAACUUGCAAUUGUGGAGUAAUCCUUGAUUGCUUCUAAGGCUCUUUGAGUAAGAAAUCAGUAGCGUGAUACCAAUCAACGAAGCCUUCACUGCCAUUCCAAUGAUGAUUCUCUUGGUUUUCAGCCUGUAAACAUAGUUUGUGUAAAACAACAUAGCACUUACAGGCUUUAAGAUGCUCACGUGAAACUCACUUUUUACUGAUGAGAAAAAGAGCAAAUACGACCAGGAAGAUUGCUCCCCAGAUCUCUACAGAAGCACCGCUUGAAGCCGUGAAGCCUAAGAUGACGAAAAGACCCAAGAAUAGGUUACUUAUUGCAAGAACAGUCUCCAUAUGAAGAAAAUGAUCAGAUCUGUGCAGAAAUCUGUCAAUUCAUUCAUCGAACGGAAAUGGGUGUUCUGUAAGUGCCAUUCCCAAACUGAAAAACGAAUCUAUACUGUGUAUGGUAUGUAGACUAAUGAGCUCAUAGAUGAAAGGAAGUGAAUCAGCUAAAGUGAUAACGAGAAGGUCGUGAGUACUGUAAAGUCAGCAUGAUGUUAAAUCGCUGAUAAGGAGGAAAACAAAACCAGAAAGGUAAAAUAAUCACGCGCGAAAAGUAAAGAAUUGGCGCCAACCACCAGGUGGCUUCCGGGGUUCUCGCAACUUGUUCGAGCAAUUCAACUUGUGAAAUUUUGUAGUCCACAGACUCUACACGAGAACGUGUAAAGUAAAUCAUUAUUUGAUUUGUUUGAAAGGCACUGCAAGGUUUCGAUGUAUUCUUGACAAUGAAUAUAUAUUUAGUAAACAGAAGUCAAAUGCAAUACUAAAGGCACAAACAAUUCAGGCAGUUUAAGAGAGACGUUUCAAUGGGUGUAGAACUACCACUAGAAGGGGUGGACGACCCACGACGUGAGUUUGUUUGAAAAGAUAAAUGUCUACGGACACUAGCUGCAUUGCUGCUGGUAGCUGACGAAACGGUGGCUGUAUCGUCAUCUGCCGCAGCCAGUUCUUCCUCACUUCGACCCUCUGCAAUGGUGGAGGACAACACGUCCGUUCGUGGACUGUAGUGCGGAUGAAAUCGGUUAUUGCGUUGCUGUUGCUGCUGACUAAGCCUACUGGCAAUGUAGCUCACUCUAGCACUACGACGAAUCAAAUUCUCCAGUGCCGGAUGUUUCGUCACUGGACUAAUAUCAGGAGAAAUGGGCGGCCCUCCUUUGUUCGCGACUAUUCCGGCCGGUGGAGGUUGGGUAGCUUUGAGUUGCUCUACGGCCGAAAUCUUUUUAUUAGACGCCGGAUGAUGGAGCUGCUGGAGCAGCUUUCGUUUGAAAUCAGAAAUGGUGGUUCGUUUGACCAAUCCGAUAGAAUGUACAACCAUUUUGGGUUGUGGUGAUGAGGAAGCAAGUGCUGCAGCAUCUGAGGGUCGGAACGGCCAAGGACCGGGACGGAUAUCCACGGAAUCGUUCAAGCUGGACGUGGAAAAGGAACCAUCGAGCGAACAAGAGGAAAACGAAGGUGUUGGCGAUGAUCCUCCUCGUUGUUGCUGAUGCUGUUGAUGCUGUUGAUGCUGUUGAUGCUGUUGAUGCUGUUGAUGCUGUUGAUGCUGUUGAUGCUGUUGAUGCUGUUGAUGCUGGACAGUACUGGGAGACCCAGACGCCGUUGAAGAGCUGAAAGAAUUGGAACGUUUGACGGAAAAUUCCAGAAACCCGCCUUCUUCUGGGCUUUCUCUUCCGCUAUUUCUGGCUGCCAUUGCUGCUGUUUUCGACGGAGAUGGCAGUGUGCUAGUUCUCCUUUCGUUAUUUCCAGAGUUUGGGCUUGGCAAAUACUGAUUGUUUUCCGGUUCGAAUGAAGAGCGUCUUCCAGUCAAGGAGGCAUAAUAAUCAGCCACCGUUUUGAAUCGAGCCGGAAGCGAAUUGUAGCGCAAAUCUUUUCGUUGAAAUUCUGCCGAUGCUGACGUGUUAGACAGCUGGGCCAAAGGCAAUGCGGACAUCCUGGGCGGAGGUGACAAAGACUGAUAGCCCGGAAGAGGUGAAGCGUCGUUCAAUUUCGAACUAGUUCCGGCACCAUCUCCAUCUAUUGUAAAAAACCAUUUUCGACAAGGCCGGAUUUCCUGACCAAUAAGAAAUCGAUGUUUAAAAAAAAACUAAGGCCGUUUAUUAGCCAAAAACAAAAUUUUUUUUUUCGUACGAAAAAAAAAAAA
Molecule: long non-coding RNA, 5475 nt
Organism: Daphnia magna
Lineage: Eukaryota; Metazoa; Arthropoda; Branchiopoda; Diplostraca; Daphniidae
Exons: 17
Source: RefSeq, a predicted model, not a curated record